Molecule: long non-coding RNA, 605 nt
Filed under: Ursus maritimus (polar bear)
Lineage: Eukaryota; Metazoa; Chordata; Mammalia; Carnivora; Ursidae
Description: lncRNA (ENSUMAG00000025532.1)
Source: RNAcentral
UUUUUCUUUUAUAAUAAGAAAAACUAUUUAGGAAAAAAAGAAAAAAAAUGGGACCGGCUACUACUGUUUAAAAUCUUUAGAUGUGUUGUGUCCCUUCUGCUUAAAAAUAAAAUACAGAACCUUCUCUAUCCGACUUGGAAAAUAUCAGUGGAGUGGAGUAGCUUUGAAGAAGUGCCCGAGACGGAGAGGUGACCUUCAUAAGAAACAGGGAACAGAGCUGAAGAAGAUUCCAGGGCUGCACGAACAGAGCAGAGAUGUGUGCCUUUACUGAAAGAAAAUGGAAUCCUUCUCUGUAAGUAAGCCAAGAUCGUGUGGUGCUUCUCGUCGCGGCCUGAAGUGUAGAAGAGAAGGAGAAUGAGGAAGAAAAUAUUUUUGAGAUUUUACAGAGAUUUUCACUCUGUUGUGGAAUAAAGUCGCUCACACCAGGCAGCUUAACUGAACGCAUUUUAUACUUUAAGUUUCUGACACAACCUCAGAGCAAAGAGGAACCUCUCCAAGGACCUAACCAGAUGCGAGCCUGGUUCAACUUUCUUCUAAAGAACAGAGGAAACAGACAACAGAAGUUGUGCACACAACAAACUAAAAGAGAAAAACCCAGAAAGUAG